AUACCUGCCGGCGACCGGCAAACGGGUGNNNNNNNNGUACGCAACUUUCCCAAAACUGGUGAAUAGCCUUCCGAAAGGGAGAUUAAUACACCGUAAGAUAUAGAGAUGGCAUCAUCAUUAUAUUAUAGCUCCGGCGGUUUUGGAUGGGCGUGCGGCUGAUUAGGUAGUUGGCGGGGUAACGGCCCACCAAGCCUGCGAUCAGUAACUGGUGUGANANCACGACCAGUCACACGGGCACUGANACACGGGCCCGACUCCUACGGGAGGCAGCAGUAAGGAAUAUUGGUCAAUGGACGCAAGUCUGAACCACCCAUGCCGCGUGCAGGAUGAAGGCCCUCUGGGUUGUAAACUGCUUUUAUAGGGGACNAAAAAGGGACUUUCUAGUUCAACUGACGGUACCCUAGGAAUAAACACCGGCUAACUCCGUGCCAGCAGCCGCGGUAAUACGGAGGGUGCAAGCGUUAUCCGGAU
This 471-nucleotide ribosomal RNA is filed under the name uncultured bacterium. RNAcentral's name for it is "partial 16S ribosomal RNA". It matches the Rfam family "Bacterial small subunit ribosomal RNA", at positions 81 to 550 of the family's 1533-position model. The record is from RNAcentral.